This 284-nucleotide long non-coding RNA is filed under the name Brassica napus (rape). RNAcentral's name for it is "long non-coding RNA (BNAP_LNC026924)". The record is from RNAcentral. Lineage: Eukaryota; Viridiplantae; Streptophyta; Magnoliopsida; Brassicales; Brassicaceae.
UAGGGAAUUUAGAUAGGUUUACGGAUUUUAUAUUAAUUAGUGUUGAUUAGGUGGCUAAUGUAGGGAAUUUAGCUAGAUUUAUAGAAAUUGUUAAUUAUAGAAAUUGUUAAUAUUGUUGAUGUUAACUUCAAAGAUUAAUUUUUUUUGCAGGGCCUUCGAAAGAACAUGCUUACUCCCCAUUACAGAGAAUUGUUCGGUGAGCUUGAUAGUCGUUUAGACCCGCCUUCUUUGGCUCCCGGUUCUUCUUCAGCUCCCGGUUCUUCUUCAGCUCCCGGUUCUUCGGG